RNAcentral lists this ribosomal RNA (144 nucleotides) under Triticum aestivum (bread wheat). Its description in RNAcentral is "partial small subunit ribosomal RNA". The record is from RNAcentral. Lineage: Eukaryota; Viridiplantae; Streptophyta; Magnoliopsida; Poales; Poaceae.
AUGUAUAAUGUACUACUUACCUUGGGAGCACAACUGACGGUUCCAACAGGCAAUGCAGCCCGCGGGGCAUCCCAACAUGUAAGAUUGUCACGCAGCUCCCCAGUAACCUACAAAAGUAGACCCGCACAUUAUGAGAAUUGUUAA